UGAGCUCCCAUCUGGUGGGCAGAAGAGUGGUCAGUUCACUUAGGAUCUAGGCGAGGGGCUCUUAAGCAGACCUUCCAAGGAGUCAACAGACUUCUUGAAAUGGAAUAGAACAUUUGUGAUAGAAGUUUUUGUGAAUUUUUCUGAAUGGGUCUUUAGCUUUCAUUGUAUUCUCAGUGGAAUCCCUCCUAUCCCCAAAGAUUAAGAAUCCCUGCCCUAGGACAGCAGGCUUCCUUUCUAACUCUGUUACAGACCAGAGCUUGCAUCAGUUAGGGUGUAUGUGAAAGUAACCAUCACCACCACAGGAGAAAUGGGUUGAAGGCUUCAGAGUGAGAGCAUUACCUUCAAGAAUCUGUUGCUGAAAGGGGAAUGGAGUACAUGCGUGACCUGGGGCAGGAUUAAGACCUUUAGAGGCUCUGGGCACCACAAAAUAGAGUUACGAUAAUAAAAACAAAAUGAACCUGUAAACCUCCAAACUUACAUCCAUGCUGAAAUGUAAACAGCUCCAUCCUAAGUUUUCUAAUUGUACACUUCUGGGUAAGCUCAUCAGAGCUGAAAUUUGAAAUGUGUCUUUGUUACCCACCUCCACCCAGUUAAGCACCUCUCUUGUGGGUGUCCUAAAUGCAUGCUGAGUGUGCCUCCUAGGGACCCUGCACAACUGGUGAUAGACACUGCUCUCUACGGUAAAGAAGAUAAGGCUGCCCUACGGGAAAUCCAUACAAAAAAGACUUAAUUAGCUACCUGCUAGAGUAAACCAAGAGAUUGCUAUAACCCUGCUAGUGAGGAGUCUGGGAAUACACUAAAUGCUCAUCAAGAAUCUCAGAGUAAUUUGGAUGAGGCAGGACCGAAAUGUGACUAUAAUUUAAAUGUGUGUAACUGUCAACACUUGCAUUUAAUCAGAAUCUCUCAUGAUGCUUUUUAGAAUUUACAGAUGUCGGGGUCCUCCCCUCAAUCUGCUGAACUGAUUUAUCUGGUGCCCAGGAAGUGGAUUUUCACAAAGCACAAGUAAUCCAAACGUGUGCCUCUAGUUAAGAACCAUGGCCAGAAACAAAGGACCUCAGAAGCAAAAUGCAUACCUAGUGGAUGGAUCUUGGUUUCUAAAUGUCACAGCCCCGAGAAAAUGAACCCUGUCCACCAGGAACCAUGAUCUUGGACUUCUCCCCUCCAGAACUGUGAGACAAUAAAUUUGUUUUCUGAGCCGCCCAA
This is a long non-coding RNA of Acinonyx jubatus (cheetah), 1203 nucleotides long. RefSeq lists it as uncharacterized. NCBI's taxonomy places the organism in Eukaryota, Metazoa, Chordata, Mammalia, Carnivora, Felidae. The record is from RefSeq and is a predicted model, not a curated record. The transcript has 2 exons.